RNAcentral lists this ribosomal RNA (398 nucleotides) under uncultured bacterium. RNAcentral describes it as "bacterial SSU rRNA". It matches the Rfam family "Bacterial small subunit ribosomal RNA", at positions 29 to 449 of the family's 1533-position model. The record is from RNAcentral.
AACGAACGCUGGCGGCAGGCCUAAAACAUGCAAGUUGAACGGUUGUAGCAAUACAACGAGUAGCGGACGGGUGAGUAAUGUAUGGGAACAUGUCCUUUAGUGGGGAAUAGCUUCUGGAAACGGGAGGUAAUACCGCAUAAGACCUGAGGGUGAAAGCAUUUAUGCGCUAAAGGGUUGGCCCAUAUCAGAUUAGCUAGUUGGUUAGGUAAAAGCUGACCAAGGCGACGAUCUGUAGCUGGUUUGAGAGGAUGAUCAGCCACAUUGGGACUGAGACACGGCCCAAACUCCUACGGGAGGCAGCAGUUAGGAAUAUUGGACAAUGGGGGCAACCCUGAUCCAGCCAUGCCGCGUGAGUGAAGAAGGCCUUCGGUUGUAAGACUCUUUUGGUAUGGGAAGAU